Molecule: long non-coding RNA, 1933 nt
Filed under: Canis lupus familiaris (dog)
Lineage: Eukaryota; Metazoa; Chordata; Mammalia; Carnivora; Canidae
Description: lncRNA (ENSCAFG00040024668.1)
Source: RNAcentral
CGGCGCCGUCCACCAGCUGUCCCGAACAUCCGUUACAAAUCUCUGCGAGGGACGAAAACAUCUGUUCGGGCAGAGGCUGGAAGCCGAGGCGGCGGGUGCGGCGCCGCGGGGAGCACCCCACCGCGGCGCAGCGCCAGGGGAGAGGGUCCCUGCAGGUAGCAAAGGAUUUUCCAGCCCGCAGGCACCGCAAGCCGAAGGGCACCGCGACGCUGCCCGAAAUGCGCGAGAUAGUGCACGCGCGUGAUGAAAAAGAAAUUUAAACAGGACAAAAGGACGCACAUGCAGGCAGACCCGGGAGGAUCAUUUCCUGGACCAUCCGCGUGCACCGACAGUUCGUCCCUGGGCCGUUUCUCGCCGCCUCUGCCCAGCAGCAGUUGGCCUCGCGGUUCCCGGGAGAGCCGCCACUUUUCCUGCCACGUUCGUUGGAGUCGAGCGUGGGCAGCCUCUGUAACUUCCCAGGGCUUUUGGCGAAAGGGUGUCAUGGGCACCCGCGCCUCGGGAGAGGCAAAAGGCUCGAUCUCCCUGGGUGCUGUGCGAACCCCGGAACCAGCCCCGGGUAGAUCCCCUCAGAGUUGGGAGAGGGAAGGCUUCCAGAGCUCUGCUCCCUACCUGGCCUCCCUCUUUUGGCUCCAGGAUCUCAACACUCACCCGAAAGAAAUGCCAAGCUUCCACUCUGCGGAAACCUAGGUGCCCCGUGCAGGCUCCACCCCGCACCCCCGCCGCGUGUUCCUGGGUAGAACGCUUUGCCGAAAAUUUUGCUAAAGCAGGGAAAGCGCGGGGCGGAUGCGGAGGGCGCAGGGCGCAGGGCGCAGGGCGCGGGCCGUGGUGGUGCCCGGCGGCCCCUGAGCCAACGCCCGGCGUGCGGUGGGGAAGGGGCAAGGUGGGCCCACACGGAUCCGAAACAGCAGCUGACCAAUCAAUCCACUGGAGGAGCCAGCAGCAUCGAAUUCAGUUUUUUUUUUUUUUAAUUGCCAUUGGGACCAUCAAUUUCCAGAGGCCUAAAAAUAAACCUCAAAUCCAAAACACAACACAGCCCUCACAGAAAAAUAGAAAAGGGGGGGAAAAAAACUAAGAACAAUCUCCCGGAUUUAAUGAGAGAGUCGCCCACAUCCUCAUCACCCCAGCAUGGUAAUUGAGCAGAUCUAUUAACUUGUUACACUAGAUUUGUUUAAAGAGACUAUUACACAGUCAUUUAAUCAAUUUGUUACACUGGAGGUCCUGACUUAUGAGACACUUGCCUUAUGAUUCCUUAAUGACUGAAUUAAUUUGUUUUAAUAAAACCAACAUUGUGUACAAGUACAUUUCUAGAAAUGUAAUUUUGGAGACAGAACAGUCCAAUGCUUCAUCUGAUUAGGUCCUUUCUAUGGUUUAUCAAAGUCUGUAGUUUCUGACAUAGCUGCUUGUAUGGAGUAUUUUUCUUUUUUAUAGCGCCAUUAAUUUAAUAUGGAUCAUUAGUUCUUUAUACACAUGCAUGUUCUGACAAAUGUACCCAAUGAAUAAUGCAGCUAAUGUGCUUAGGCCCAAAUGCAUCACAUCAUAAACAGAGACCUCUGCAAAAUAACAACAGUGAAAUAAAACACCCCCUCUGGUCUCCGUGGUCAUCAUUAGAGUAACAUUUUGAGUUACAUUUAAGUCUUGUUUUGCAGAGCAAGACAUGUUUGGCCCCAAGAUUCUAUCAACAUAGCCAACUGGGUCUAACUAUGUAGUGAACACAAAUAGAUUUAUGGUGAAUUAAGGUUGUCUUGAGAGCAGAUGCAGGACAAGAAAAUCGGUUUUGCUCUUGAUGGAAACUGACGUGUGUAGAAUAAAAUGUAAAUAAACAGAAAGUCCCCAAGAAAAGGGACUUGAUGUUAUUGAUUAUGUAAAAUAAUUAGAACAUUACAAAUGAUAAUGCACUACAAAUAGUUGGCAUUUAUGUCUAGAUUUUUUGCAG